CCCUUAGAUGUUCUGGGCUGCACACGUGCUACAAUGAAGCGUCCAACAAGAUGCGAAGCCGAAAGGCUCAGCGGAUCUUUGAAGUCGUUUCGUGACCGGGACAGUUGAUUGCAAUUAUUCGACUCGAACGAGGAAUUCCUUGUAAUCGCGAUUCAUCAUAUCGCGCUGAAUACGUCCCUGCCCUUUGUACACACCGCCCGUCGCUCCUACCGAUUGAGCGAUCCGGUGAAUUAUUUGGAGUGUCCACGCAAGCCAAUCCGUUUACGUGGGUGCGAAAUUUUGUAAACCUUAUCGCUUAGAGGAAGGAAAAGUCGUAACA
Molecule: ribosomal RNA, 319 nt
Filed under: uncultured eukaryote
Lineage: Eukaryota
Description: partial 18S ribosomal RNA
Rfam family: Eukaryotic small subunit ribosomal RNA
Source: RNAcentral